GUCGAUCAUUAGGGGUGCCCCAACAUUACGGGCUGAGAUCAUACCCAUAGAACCUGAUCCGGGUAGUGCCGGCGAAGGGAAAUGACUUAAGCCAAUA
RNAcentral lists this non-coding RNA (97 nucleotides) under Lunatimonas lonarensis. RNAcentral's name for it is "TPP sequence". It matches the Rfam family "TPP riboswitch aptamer (THI element)". From Rfam's summary of the family: Vitamin B(1) in its active form thiamin pyrophosphate (TPP) is an essential coenzyme that is synthesised by coupling of pyrimidine and thiazole moieties in bacteria. The previously detected thiamin-regulatory element, thi box was extended, resulting in a new, highly conserved RNA secondary structure, the THI element, which is widely distributed in eubacteria and also occurs in some archaea. The record is from Rfam by way of RNAcentral. Lineage: Bacteria; Pseudomonadati; Bacteroidota; Cytophagia; Cytophagales; Cyclobacteriaceae.